This 301-nucleotide ribosomal RNA is filed under the name uncultured bacterium. RNAcentral describes it as "partial 16S ribosomal RNA". It matches the Rfam family "Bacterial small subunit ribosomal RNA", at positions 509 to 809 of the family's 1533-position model. The record is from RNAcentral.
CAGCAGCCGCGGUAAUGCGUAGGGUGCGAGCGUUAAUCGGAAUUAUUGGGCGUAAAGGGCUCGCAGGCGGUUUCUUAAGUCUGAUGUGAAAGCCCCCGGCUCAACCGGGGGGGGUCAUUGGAAACUGGGAAACUUGAGUGCAGAAGAGGAGAGUGGAAUUCCACGUGUAGCGGUGAAAUGCGUAGAGAUGUGGAGGAACACCAGUGGCGAAGGCGACUCUCUGGUCUGUAACUGACGCUGAGGAGCGAAAGCGUGGGGAGCGAACAGGAUUAGAUACCCGCGUAGUCCCUGUCUCUUAUAA